ACGACUCGGGCGUGCCGACGGAACUAAUAGUUCCUGGAAGCGGGCUGGACAGUGCAUCCAAUCUACAACAGAAAUUAGAGCAUUGUGGUUGCAAAUUGUGAUCCAUUGUGGCCUCAUCGAUUUCAAACUUUCUUUUGACCGGCCCCAAGCAACUUGGCCUGAUCGCGAUAGGACUCAAGCUGCGCCUGUGGUUAUUAGAUGAAACAUUAGACAAAAUAAUAAAAACAAUAAUCACUUCCUAAACUUUAUUUGACCCGGACGAAGGUCUCUGCUGAUUCUGUCAUCGUCCUAAGUUCGGAGCACCAUCAUGCUCGGAUGAUGCUGCUCUCGGAUGAGGUAGGAAGAAAAACGGACGUACCUCGACGACGAUGUAGACGGCGUGGUGACGGACAUGGUCACACUGCUGAUCUCAUUAAUCAUCGGCGCGCUACUGGAUCGCUUCAAACUAACA
This is a non-coding RNA of Linepithema humile (Argentine ant), 451 nucleotides long. NCBI's taxonomy places the organism in Eukaryota, Metazoa, Arthropoda, Insecta, Hymenoptera, Formicidae. The record is from RefSeq and is a predicted model, not a curated record.